UACCUGUUCUGGUCAUAAGACCAAUCCAACGAUGACACAUAGACUAAACGUCCCCAAGACUAAGGCGUGUUCUGAAGUAACACGCCAGUAUCAGUGCACCUUACUCCACUGGAGCAUGCCCCCGUGCAUCAGACACCAUACAUGUGUCCUCUAACCGCCUCCUAAUCAUGCGCCACAUCUCACGAAAGCGGUUAUUCUCACAUACAUCCAUAUAAAGGUGACUUAACUUCACUUCAGGAUGAUUCACUUUUCCCACACUUUUUACACACUCCUUAUCAUUUUCUAUAGUGACUUGAGCGUUAGAGUGUUUACGUAGGGUGCCUGCAUACACAUUUCAUCAAACCGCGAAGAUUCGUCACCAUUAUAACGGAGCACUUUCCGCCGUUGUUGCCUCCAUCGGUUCUUCAUCGAACAGAUCAUAACCAUUAUGAAAAAACAAAAAUUGAGAUUGUGGGUAAUGGACACACUACCACACUCAUAAAUGCCACCAU
RNAcentral lists this long non-coding RNA (491 nucleotides) under Medicago truncatula (barrel medic). RNAcentral's name for it is "long non-coding RNA (MTRU_LNC006581)". Lineage: Eukaryota; Viridiplantae; Streptophyta; Magnoliopsida; Fabales; Fabaceae. The record is from RNAcentral.